Capsicum annuum is the source of this 3226-nucleotide RNA transcript. RefSeq lists it as uncharacterized. Lineage: Eukaryota; Viridiplantae; Streptophyta; Magnoliopsida; Solanales; Solanaceae. The transcript is spliced from 4 exons. The record is from RefSeq and is a predicted model, not a curated record.
UCCGUUGACUCCAUACUGUACAUCCAAUACAACCCAUUGAAAAUAGGAGACUAUAAAGAGCAACCUUCUAAUUACACCAUGUUCAUAACUAGGUUAUUAUUUGGCCUCACAAACAUGCUAAAGUAUUCAGUAAUUAAAUUGGUUUUCCGAACAGAUUCUUAAUAAAAAUAACUACUACUAGAUAUAGUUUCCUGGAUUACAGUUAAUCUCGUUCCCCAGUGCCUUUCCAAUUGUGAUAUUUUUGCGGUUUUGAGAAAUAGUAUAGCGGAAGAAGAGGAGGUCGAAGAAGGAGAAAUAUGUCAAGAUUAUUCUGUUGACAUUGAUAUGAAGAUUGACAGAUAUUUGGGUGAAUUUAGAGAAGAGUUUGAAGGAAUUAUUUCUUUUGAGAAUUUAGGAUCAAGAUUUGGGAUGUAUGGUAGCUUUUUGCCCUGUUAUCAACAUCCCCCUUCCCUUCUAUUUCAUCCAACAAUUCAAAGUGUUCCUUCCACUUCAAAGUUUUCUUCUCAACAAUCCAACAGUGUUGAACUUAAUCCUGAAGUAACAACUAGUUCCGUUGGUGGGCCCAUCUCUCUGCGAAAGAAAACUGUUAAGAGAGUUGCAAGCCAUAGGGAUGAGCCACCAGUUUCUCCAUUCAUUAUACUAGGAGAUUGGAUUUUGUUGUGUUAAUUGUUGCAAGUGGAGGCUUUUCCCGUAUGGUACAAAACGCGAGCAACUGUCUGAUAGUUGGCUCUGCAGUAUGUUAGACUGGCUUCCUGGAAUGGACCAUUGUGACGUUAGUGAGGAGGAUACGACGAGGGGUCUACAUGCCCUGUACCAAAGUCUCAUACUAACUAACUUUUAGAAUCGUGGUGGUAAGGGCUCAAUUGAUGUUAAAGCACAUAAUGGAAGGGAAAUUUCUGUAAAGAAAACGAAAUUGAGCGAUCAAGAUUGUUUAGUGACUUCGCGAAGUAAUGGUAAUGACUUGGGUGAUGGUGAUGCUAAUGCUGUUGAUAGGGAGGUUAGUGGUGGAUUCAGAAAAUAGAAGACAUCCAAGGUGAUUCAGAGUGAAAAAGGGGAGUCCAGUACAAGCAAAGGUGAAGACAAAUCAAGAACGAGAGGUACAAUUACCAGGAUUAUACCAGGAAUCAAGGAUUCUCCUCCUAUAGACAGGGGUACUACAGAGAGAGAUCACCUGAGGAAGAAGUACAGAGUAAAGCGCCAGUCUCAAGCAGAAUUUGGCAUGGUCCGCAUGCAAGUUUGCAAGUUCCCUCGCAAGCAGGCCCUUGGAUAUGGGAAGGAAGCGAGGACCUGUAUUGCAAUUUGAUGAAGAGGUACAAUUACAGAAAUUCCGUUCUUCAGUGGUUACAGUUCUCAUUGAUAAUUCGAAUCACAGUGCGUCACUGUAAUCUGUUGUUCAGGCACCACACUGAUGUCUUGUUCCCAAUUUCGGUCGGUUUUACUGCCUCAAUAAUGCGCAGUUACCUGAAGGUUUGCACCUGUUUUUCAUACAUGAUAUUGUGACCCUCCUUGUUCAGCAAUUAGGUUGCUGAUUCACGUUCUGUCCUUUCUUGAUUUGCUUGCAUGCCAGAUCCUUCUUAUGUCUUCUCUAGGAUCAUUCUUGAUCAUUUCUCAAAUAAAUGUUGUGGUUAUGUUCCACAUAGUCACAAUGUUGAGUGAAUCUAUUGUGAUGUUAUGCAAUGAUGUUUUCCAGGGUUACUUCCAGUGUGUUAAUAACUUUUUCCCUAAGAGUUGGUUGAUAUGUUGAUUCAUUGUACUGUUCAGGUUGCCAACAUUGCCAUUGAACGCUGAGUUUCCACCCAACUUCUCUCAAACAACACUGCUGGCCUCAAGAAUUACCAACUCGUGUAACUUCAAGCGCUUCUUUGCUUCUUUUGACAGUCUACACAUGAAAGUAUUGGCACUUAACAUUCCUUAUCUAAAUCCACUUUUAUGACCUGUAGAUUCAUUGAAAACUGGGUUUAAAAACAUUGAGACUUUUAGAACAUUAUUACUAUAUCAAGUUUAUGCACUGAUAGUAUUAGCAUGUUAUUUCCAUAAAGUCAGACUAAAUGGACUUGUGUAACCUUUGAGAUUUACAAGUGCUGAUCCUCGCACCUUAGAUUUCAGGGCUCUCCAGUCAUCAGUCACCACUAUUUGGGACCGUUUGAAGGUUUCCAUAAACUAUAGCAUUUAGCAUCUUAUUCUCUUGUGUGUUGCUCCUACGAUUCAAUUUAUUUGGCCUACUUUUUUUUUUUAGUCCGUUUCAAAAAGAAUGAACGUUUCCUUCUUAGCAACUCUUUAGUUUCAACUUUCCACAUGGCAUGUUUAAGGCGGCAAGAUUAAAAGAAAUUUUGAUACAUUUGACAUAUCUUUAGUUUACGACCACAAGAUUCAAAAGUCUUCUUUACUUUCUUAAACUCCGUGCCGAGAAAUAGGUCAAACAAAUUGAAACUGAGGAAGUGUAUCUUUAUAUUCUAUGCGAAUUUGUGUGGGAUUCUUAAUUCAUGAAGGUGAUUCACACUAGAUUUUGCUUUUUGAAUGGUAUAUAUGUUUUCUAUGACACUGUUCCAAAGUGCUUUAUUAUCAGCAUCUCUGGUUUGCUCCUGUUUUAUGUGGUCAUAAGUUUUCCAGAAUAAUUUUUGUCUCAGGUUCUAAGAAACGGAUUACUAGAGCUAUGAAGGCCAUUCUUCAAUUAUAUACUUCAUCAUCAGAAGUGGCAUCUGUUCUUUUGAAAGUUAUGCUGUAGAUAAAAGAAUGCUCUAACAAUCCAUGAAACCAUUGACAUGCAUACUGCAUAUGAUCACUGGAAAUCAAUCCUUAAAAAUUUUAAAUAGAAAAUCGGAUUCGCUUCUGACUCUUCUGUAGCUGUAGAGAAGAUUGAGACUAUGGAAACCACAAAGCUUGAACUAUCUGCGGUUAAGUCUAAACUUGAGACACGAUGCCAUCACUAGGAUCAAGAUCUGCAGUUCCUCUUCAUCCACCAACCCCCCCGCCCCCCUCCCCCCCUCCCUCAAAUAACGAGCAUUCUGCCAUGAUUUACUUUCAGUUUCCAACUAUGAAAUAGCCUGCUUGUUGUUUUCUUUCAGUUAUUUAUUUGAAAUAAAGCAUUGACGUUUGGAAAUAACGUAAAUUUUUCCAUUCCUUCACAAUGAAAUUAUACGUACUAGAAAAUUUCACAAUUAGCAAGCUCAACUCUCUGUUGUAACCGUGCAGGCAUGAAUAAAUGAUUGUUUUUCAUUGCUGGUAA